This 687-nucleotide ribosomal RNA is filed under the name Stegodyphus mimosarum. RNAcentral's name for it is "eukaryotic large subunit ribosomal RNA". The stretch from base 135 to 687 matches the Rfam family "Eukaryotic large subunit ribosomal RNA", at positions 1 to 620 of the family's 3401-position model. The record is from RNAcentral. Lineage: Eukaryota; Metazoa; Arthropoda; Arachnida; Araneae; Eresidae.
CGCACGGAAUUUGAUCUCGUGUUUUUGGUAGCGGUUCAAUAUCAUUACAUCCUCCACGGCAUCAGCGCCGGGAGCUGAGCCUUUCGUGGGAAUCGAGAGGCUUUUCUGCGUGGGAGCAGAUUCAAAAAAUUCCGUGUUUCAAUUUUUAGUAUUAUUACGAGUCUGAACGCCCAGCAAGGCACGGGGGCCGAGCUGGUCGUGAGACCCAUAGCUGCUACGACUGCUUCGGAUGCGAUCUCCUGGGAGUUGGGUUGUUUGGGAGUGCAACCAUAAUUGGGUGGUAAACUCUACCUAAGGCUAAAUACUGCCGUGAAACCGAUAGCAAACAAGUGCCGUGAGGGAAAGUUGCAAAGAACUUUGAAGAGAAAGUUCAAAAGUACGUGAAACUGCUCAGAGGUAAACGGGUGGGCCCUAAGUUGUCGGUGAUGUAAUGGCAAUAAAACUGUUGUAAUCAGCAAUUAUAGGCACAAGGGAGAGAAAUAGUGUGCAUACUGCUUGCCGUCGAAGUUCCGAAUGGCAGAAGAGAGUCAGCGUUAAGAGCAGGAUGGUCGAAGGGCCGGAGCUUGCUGGUCCAAACUUCGAGUAGCCUAUGAUGAUCCUAGAAAAUAACAAAAUAUGUACAAGUCCCUGUGAAUAUUUAAUAAGGAGUACGAACUAGGCUUGAACUCGCGAUGCCGUAGAAAGUAA